GACGAACGCUGGCGGCGUGCCUAAUACAUGCAAGUCGAGCGAUGAAGAUUGGUGCUUGCACCAAUUUGAAGAGCAGCGAACGGGUGAGUAACGCGUGGGGAAUCUGCCUUUGAGCGGGGGACAACAUUUGGAAACGAAUGCUAAUACCGCAUAACAACUUUAAACAUAAGUUUUAAGUUUGAAAGAUGCAAUUGCAUCACUCAAAGAUGAUCCCGCGUUGUAUUAGCUAGUUGGUGAGGUAAAGGCUCACCAAGGCGAUGAUACAUAGCCGACCUGAGAGGGUGAUCGGCCACAUUGGGACUGGGACAGGGCCCAAACGCCUGCGGGAGGCAGCAGUAGGGAAUCUUCGGCAAUGGACGAAAGUCUGAGCGAGCAACGCCGCGUGAGUGAAGAAGGGUUUCGGAUCGUAAAACUCGGUUGGUAGAGAAGAACGUUGGUGAGAGUGGAAAGCUCAUCAAGUGACGGUAACUACCCAGAAAGGGACGGCUAACUACGUG
RNAcentral lists this ribosomal RNA (497 nucleotides) under uncultured bacterium. RNAcentral describes it as "partial 16S ribosomal RNA". It matches the Rfam family "Bacterial small subunit ribosomal RNA", at positions 28 to 507 of the family's 1533-position model. The record is from RNAcentral.